GUCCUUUAGAGUUUAUUAUUUAAGGUCUAGCCUGCCCACUGAAUUUUUUUUAAAUGGCCGCAGUAAAUUGACUGUGCAAAGGUAGCAUAAUCAUUAGUUUUUUAAUUAAAAGCUUGUAUGAAUGGUUUGACGAAAUAAAAUCUGUCUCUAAAUAAUAAAAAGAAUUUAAUUUUUAAGUUAAAAAGCUUAAAUUUAAUUAAAAGACGAGAAGACCCUAUAGAUCUUUAUAUUAAAAUUAAUAAUUUUAUUAAAGAUUUUUUACAAAAUUAUUAUUUUUAUUAUUAUAUUGGGGUAAUAGGAAGAUUAAAAAAAUUCUUUUUAAUUUUAAUCAAUAAUAAUUGUUUAAUUGAUCCUUGAAUUAAGAUAAUAAGAUUAAGUUACCUUAGGGAUAACAGCGUAAUUUUUUUAGAGAGUUCUUAUCGAUAAAAAAGUUUGCGACCUCGAUGUUGGAUUAAAAAUUAUUCCAGGUGUAGGAGUUUGGAAAUUUUGGUCUGUUCGACCAUUAAAUUUUU
This 512-nucleotide ribosomal RNA is filed under the name Nebrioporus clarkii. RNAcentral's name for it is "partial 16S ribosomal RNA". The stretch from base 388 to 512 matches the Rfam family "Bacterial large subunit ribosomal RNA", at positions 2473 to 2597 of the family's 2925-position model. The record is from RNAcentral. Lineage: Eukaryota; Metazoa; Arthropoda; Insecta; Coleoptera; Dytiscidae.